RNAcentral lists this non-coding RNA (497 nucleotides) under uncultured Glomus. RNAcentral's name for it is "SSU rRNA". It matches the Rfam family "Eukaryotic small subunit ribosomal RNA", at positions 591 to 1092 of the family's 1831-position model. Lineage: Eukaryota; Fungi; Glomeromycota; Glomeromycetes; Glomerales; Glomeraceae. The record is from RNAcentral. RNAcentral also lists the same sequence under 1 other name.
CCAAUAGCGUAUAUUAAAGUUGUUGCAGUUAAAAAGCUCGUAGUUGAAUUUCGGGGUUAGUAAGUUGGUCAUGCCUUCGGUAUGUACUGGCUUUACUGAUUCCUCCUUCUUGACGAACCGUGAUGUCAUUAAUUUGGUGUUGCGGGAAAUCAGGACUGUUACUUUGAAAAAAUUAGAGUGUUUAAAGCAGGCUAACGCUUGAAUACAUUAGCAUGGAAUAAUGAAAUAGGACGUUAAUCCUAUUUUGUUGGUUUCUAGGAUCGACGUAAUGAUUAAUAGGGAUAGUUGGGGGCAUUAGUAUUCAAUUGUCAGAGGUGAAAUUCUUGGAUUUAUUGAAGACUAACUACUGCGAAAGCAUUUGCCAAGGAUGUUUUCAUUAAUCAAGAACGAAAGUUAGGGGAUCGAAGACGAUCAGAUACCGUCGUAGUCUUAACCAUAAACUAUGCCGACUAGGGAUCGGAUGAUGUUAUUUUUAAUGACUCAUUCGGCGCCUUACG